Molecule: long non-coding RNA, 1285 nt
Filed under: Gouania willdenowi (blunt-snouted clingfish)
Lineage: Eukaryota; Metazoa; Chordata; Actinopteri; Blenniiformes; Gobiesocidae
Description: lncRNA (ENSGWIG00000008817.1)
Source: RNAcentral
CAUCAAUCUCUAGAAGAACCAAACCUCAGCACCAACCUGUUCAUCAUGAUGAUCAGAAUCCUCUGCCUGAGCGUCCUUGUGCUGCUUUUCUGCACAGACAUUGAAGCUAAAAAAGAAAAGACCGAAAAGACCGAAAAGUUCAAAAAGUUCAAGUGUUUCACUUGUACAGAGAAAAACUGCAAAAAACAACAGUAUUGUAGUGAAGGACAGGUCUGCAUGAGCGCCUCUGUUAUCGAAGUCACACAUGGACAUCAGAAUAAAUCCUACUACAGGUCCUGUACGUCACCUUCAUACUGUCCAAAGAGUGAAAAAGCAGAGACCAUGUCCAUCGGCUUGGGUUAUCAGGUGUUUGUGGCGACCGUUAAGUGCUGCAAGUCCCAUCUCUGCAACAAAAAACCUCAACCCCACCCUAAGAUACCAUCAGGAAAUGGGUUGACGUGCCUUUUCUGCAGCAACACUAAAAACCCAAAGGAAUGCAAAGUCAAGGAAUGCAUUGGAAAUCAAACUCACUGCGUGCAAGUAAUCAGAAAUGGAACUCAUCAGAGUGGGUGUGCAACUAAAAACUUCUGUCACCCCGACAAGAUACUUGGACGCUACAAGCCUGUUAAUGGCUUCGCUGGUGCCCUCAGUUUUCCAGCUGAGUGUGAGAAAGCAAAACCUGCACCUGAGCCAACAACUGCUGAACCAACAACUGCUGAACCAACAACUGCUGAACCAACAACUGCUGAACCAACAAUUGCUGAACCAACAACUGCUGAACCAACAACUGCUGAACCAAAGUGUGUUCCAGUUGAAACCACUCCUGAACCAACCCUUCCACCCUGUGAUAGAAAGGGAUAACUACUCCCACCACGUAAAACCAGUUUCUUUGUCUUGCUGACAAAAUCAUUAAAAGGUUGAUUAAAGUCUGGGUGAAUCUUUAGUGGAUCCUACAUCAAACAUAGAGAUCUUAACAAACUUAUCAGACCACCACCCACUGUGAGCUUAAAUCACAGCAUUGGUAAAUAUCUUUGUUUCUGUCAUUUGGCUAAUCUCCUAAACAAAAAAAAUAGUCGGUGGUUGAAUACAUUUGUUAACCAACUCAUGUGAUGUUUUGCUUUUAGUGAUGUUAUUAGAUGAUGAAUUAAUGAAGAUCAAAGCUUCUUUCAAAGGAGCUUUGAUGACUUCUAACUUCUAAAUGUGACUCUUUUAGUAAAGGUAACAGGGCUGAGUUUCUAAUGCUUUCUUAAAAUGCUUUCUGCAUGGGAACAAUCAUUAAAGAGGUGAAAUAAAACUAUCAGCAAAC